RNAcentral lists this ribosomal RNA (273 nucleotides) under uncultured bacterium. RNAcentral's name for it is "partial 16S ribosomal RNA". It matches the Rfam family "Bacterial small subunit ribosomal RNA", at positions 524 to 796 of the family's 1533-position model. The record is from RNAcentral.
UACAGAGGUCCCGAGCGUUGUUCGGAUUCACUGGGCGUAAAGGGUGCGUAGGUGGCCAUGAAAGUCUGAUGUGAAAUCUCCGGGCUCAACCCGGAAAAUGCAUUGGAUACUAUGUGGCUUGAGGUUUGGAGGGGGGACUGGAAUUCUCGGUGUAGCAGUGAAAUGCGUAGAUAUCGAGAGGAACACCAGUGGCGAAGGCGGGUCCCUGGACAACACCUGACACUGAGGCACGAAAGCUAGGGGAGCAAACAGGAUUAGAAACCCCGGUAGUCC